RNAcentral lists this ribosomal RNA (465 nucleotides) under uncultured bacterium. RNAcentral describes it as "partial 16S ribosomal RNA". It matches the Rfam family "Bacterial small subunit ribosomal RNA", at positions 338 to 795 of the family's 1533-position model. The record is from RNAcentral.
CCUACGGGUGGCAGCAGUGGGGAAUAUUGCGCAAUGGGCGAAAGCCUGACGCAGCGACGCCGCGUGAGGGAUGAAGGUCUUCGGAUCGUAAACCUCUGUCAGCAGGGAAGAACGGUCACUGUGCUAAUCACCUGUGAAUUGACGGUACCUGCAAAGGAAGCACCGGCUAACUCCGUGCCAGCAGCCGCGGUAAUACGGAGGGUGCGAGCGUUAAUCGGAAUUACUGGGCGUAAAGCGCUCGUAGGCGGUAUGUCAAGUCAAGGGUGAAAUCCCCGCGCUCAACGUGGGAACUGCCUGUGAAACUGGCAAACUGGAGUGUGGGAGAGGAGAGUAGAAUUCCAGGUGUAGGAGUGAAAUGCGUAGAGAUGGGGAGGAAUAUCAGUGGCGAAGGCGACUAGCUGGAACAUAACUGACGCUGAGGAGCGAAAGCGUGGGGAGCAAACAGGAUUAGAUACCCGUGUAGUC